GCGGCAGCAGGGUUGGGCUCUCGCCGUGAGUCGACGAAGGGAGCGCGGGCGCGCGCCCGCGUCCGCGCACUGAGAGUCGCCUCGGCCGCUCGCUUUCUCGACUCCCGCCUCGCGCCUCGAUCCUGUUCCGCCUCCCUCGGCCCUCCUGCCCGCCCCCACUCGUCGGCCCUCAGGUUCCUGGAAAGUGAAAAUUUCAUUUCUUUGUGGACAGGUACCUAAAAUGUCUCAUUAUUCAUCAAUUAAUGAAAAACAAAUGAAAAUUUGAGAGAGAUAUUCUGAAGAAUAAAAGGAUCAAGUUGGGUCAUUUCUAAAAUCUCAGAGACCUAAUAGGAUGGGGUCUUAGAGAAACAUCUUUUGAGCCACAGACUUCUUUGUUACCAGAAGGAAAAUGAAAGAAGAAAUUUAAAUACCACUUGAAGAGAGAGAGUGUGAAGAAAUGACCCUGAAAAGCCUCUGGCAGAGGAUUCUUCUUUCAGGAUGGUGUCGCCUCCUCAGCAGCCCAUCCUCCUCCCCUGGACUCAAGCUCUCAUUCCAGUAACACUCCUUCCUCCUUCUCCAUCUUCAGGGGGAGGUUUGCCAGUCGGUGCUGCCCAGUUCAUGAGUGCUGCUGCUGUCCUGCCCAAGUACCCAGCUUGCAGAGUGCCAGAGUUAGAGUCCCAGGGGUGUUCUCCACAGCUGCAUGCUUGAUCCAGGCCUAUCAGGUGUUAUUUGUUGACGGAACCAGGCAUCAUCAGCAAACAAAACUGACAAAGCUUCCUGCCCUCUGUGGAAGGCAUCUGAGGAAGAGACUGGAUUUUGUAGCAACAUGUUAUUCUCAUUAUAAACUUUAUCAUUGGAAUACUAAAGCCAAAUCAUCCCCCAUCUCCUUGAUCAGGAUACCCACUUAAUCUAGGCAGCUACACAAUUGUGAGAGCCUUUGUUUUUUUCUGCUGAAACAUCCUUAAAAAGAUACCUCACAACCCAAGAUUUGGCUUUUCUUAAAUACGAUUUUUAAUUUUUUUCAUUUCUAUCUAGAGAUUUAAUUGGAAAUGGAAAAUCAUCAAUUUUCCAAUUAAAUGUCUGUUCCAAUCAACAUUAUACCUUUUAGGUUGUCAUUGUCAUUUUUAAGUUUAAGCAACUUUAAGGAUUUUGAAUCUGGCUGCCUGUAAAUUAAAGGUGAAAGUAAUCAUUGUGUUGGAUUGGAACAUUUUGUCAAUUGAGAGUGGUUUCCUUGUUCUUAGUGUAUGAAAAGUUUAUUUUUCUAAUGUAGAUUAAUAAAGGAGAUAAAGAAAAACAAAA
Homo sapiens (human) is the source of this 1278-nucleotide long non-coding RNA. NCBI's taxonomy places the organism in Eukaryota, Metazoa, Chordata, Mammalia, Primates, Hominidae. The record is from Ensembl.